This 253-nucleotide ribosomal RNA is filed under the name uncultured bacterium. RNAcentral describes it as "partial 16S ribosomal RNA". It matches the Rfam family "Bacterial small subunit ribosomal RNA", at positions 524 to 776 of the family's 1533-position model. The record is from RNAcentral.
UACGUAGGGUGCGAGCGUUAAUCGGAAUUACUGGGCGUAAAGGGCGCGUAGGCGGGCCCGUAUGUCGAUUGUGAAAGCCCUGGGCUCAACCUGGGAAUUGCAGUCGAAACUGCGGGUCUUGAAUGCUUGAGGGGAUGGCGGAAUUUCCGGUGUAGAAGUGAAAUUCGUAGAUAUCGGAAAGAACACCUGAGGCGAAGGCGGCUAUCUGGCGAUGCAUUGACGCUGAGGCGCGAAAGCGUGGGGAGCAAACAGG